AGGAGCGAAAUACCACCAGCCCUUUUUUCGACAUACCUCUUCAGCAUGAAAAAUGUGCAAAAAAGAGAAUAUCACAGGGCAAUCUCGAGAAGAUCGCAUAUUAUAAGGAAAGAAUAGAUAGUGCGAAUGGAAUUGUGAGGAAGAUGUGCUAAGAAGAUUUUGAUAAUGAUCAAGAAUAUUACAGAUGAAAGAAUGCAAGAGGAAGCGA
This 208-nucleotide long non-coding RNA is filed under the name Elaeis guineensis (African oil palm). RNAcentral's name for it is "long non-coding RNA (EGUI_LNC017408)". Lineage: Eukaryota; Viridiplantae; Streptophyta; Magnoliopsida; Arecales; Arecaceae. The record is from RNAcentral.